This 399-nucleotide ribosomal RNA is filed under the name Casarea dussumieri. RNAcentral describes it as "partial 16S ribosomal RNA". It matches the Rfam family "Bacterial large subunit ribosomal RNA", at positions 1962 to 2573 of the family's 2925-position model. The record is from RNAcentral. Lineage: Eukaryota; Metazoa; Chordata; Lepidosauria; Squamata; Bolyeriidae.
UAAUCAUUUGUCUAUUAAUUGUAGACCGGUAUGAAAGGCUACAUGAGAGUCAAACUGUCUCUUGUAAUCAAUCAAUUAAACUGAUCUCCCAGUUCAAAAGCUGGAAUUACCAUAUAAGACCAGAAGACCCUGUGAAGCUUAAACUUAACUAUUAAAUCCAAUAAUAGCCACUUUCAGUUGGGGCGACUUUGGAAAAAAAAAGAACUUCCAAAAACCAUGAGCCUUCCCUCAUAACACCAAGGCCAACACGCCAUAUCACGACCCAGUAAAACUGAUAAUUGAACCAAGUUACUCCAGGGAUAACAGCGCUAUCUUCUUCAAGAGCCCAUAUCAAAAAGAAGGUUUACGACCUCGAUGUUGGAUCAGGACACCCCAAUGGUGCAGCCGCUAUUAAAGGUU